GGGUUGUGAGGUUAAGCGACUAAGCGUACACGGUGGAUGCCCUGGCAGUCAGAGGCGAUGAAGGACGUGCUAAUCUGCGAAAAGCGUCGGUAAGGUGAUAUGAACCGUUAUAACCGGCGAUGUCCGAAUGGGGAAACCCAGUGCAAUUCGUUGCACUAUCGUUAACUGAAUACAUAGGUUAACGAGGCGAACCGGGGGAACUGAAACAUCUAAGUACCCCGAGGAAAAGAAAUCAACCGAGAUUCCCCCAGUAGCGGCGAGCGAACGGGGAGCAGCCCAGAGUCUGAAUCAGCUUGUGUGUUAGUGGAACGGUCUGGAAAGUCCGACGGUACAGGGUGAUAGUCCCGUACACCAAAAUGCACAGGUUGUGAACUCGAAGAGUAGGGCGGGACACGUGGUAUCCUGUCUGAAUAUGGGGGGACCAUCCUCCAAGGCUAAAUACUCCUGACUGACCGAUAGUGAACCAGUACCGUGAGGGAAAGGCGAAAAGAACCCCGGCGAGGGGAGUGAAAAAGAACCUGAAACCGUGUACGUACAAGCAGUGGGAGCACCUUCGGGUGUGACUGCGUACCUUUUGUAUAAUGGGUCAGCGACUUAUAUUCUGUAGCAAGGUUAACCGUAUAGGGGAGCCGCAGGGAAACCGAGUCUUAACUGGGCGUUAAGUUGCAGGGUAUAGACCCGAAACCCGGUGAUCUAGCCAUGGGCAGGUUGAAGGUUGGGUAACACUAACUGGAGGACCGAACCGACUAAUGUUGAAAAAUUAGCGGAUGACUUGUGGCUGGGGGUGAAAGGCCAAUCAAACCGGGAGAUAGCUGGUUCUCCCCGAAAGCUAUUUAGGUAGCGCCUCGUGAACUCAUCUUCGGGGGUAGAGCACUGUUUCGGCUAGGGGGUCAUCCCGACUUACCAACCCGAUGCAAACUACGAAUACCGAAGAAUGUUAUCACGGGAGACACACGGCGGGUGCUAACGUCCGUCGUGAAGAGGGAAACAACCCAGACCGCCAGCUAAGGUCCCAAAGUCAUGGUUAAGUGGGAAACGAUGUGGGAAGGCACAGACAGCCAGGAUGUUGGCUUAGAAGCAGCCAUCAUUUAAAGAAAGCGUAAUAGCUCACUGGUCGAGUCGGCCUGCGCGGAAGAUGUAACGGGGCUAAACCAUGCACCGAAGCUGCGGCAGCGACACUAUGUGUUGUUGGGUAGGGGAGCGUUCUGUAAGCCUGCGAAGGUGUGCUGUGAGGCAUGCUGGAGGUAUCAGAAGUGCGAAUGCUGACAUAAGUAACGAUAAAGCGGGUGAAAAGCCCGCUCGCCGGAAGACCAAGGGUUCCUGUCCAACGUUAAUCGGGGCAGGGUGAGUCGACCCCUAAGGCGAGGCCGAAAGGCGUAGUCGAUGGGAAACAGGUUAAUAUUCCUGUACUUGGUGUUACUGCGAAGGGGGGACGGAGAAGGCUAUGUUAGCCGGGCGACGGUUGUCCCGGUUUAAGCAUGUAGGCUGAUUGUCCAGGCAAAUCCGGAUAAUCAAGGCUGAGGUGUGAUGACGAGGCACUACGGUGCUGAAGUAACAAAUGCCCUGCUUCCAGGAAAAGCCUCUAAGCAUCAGGUAACAUCAAAUCGUACCCCAAACCGACACAGGUGGUCAGGUAGAGAAUACCAAGGCGCUUGAGAGAACUCGGGUGAAGGAACUAGGCAAAAUGGUGCCGUAACUUCGGGAGAAGGCACGCUGGUGUGUAGGUGAAGUCCCUGCGGAUGGAGCUGAGACCAGUCGAAGAUACCAGCUGGCUGCAACUGUUUAUUAAAAACACAGCACUGUGCAAACACGAAAGUGGACGUAUACGGUGUGACGCCUGCCCGGUGCCGGAAGGUUAAUUGAUGGGGUUAUCCGUAAGGAGAAGCUCUUGAUCGAAGCCCCGGUAAACGGCGGCCGUAACUAUAACGGUCCUAAGGUAGCGAAAUUCCUUGUCGGGUAAGUUCCGACCUGCACGAAUGGCGUAAUGAUGGCCAGGCUGUCUCCACCCGAGACUCAGUGAAAUUGAACUCGCUGUGAAGAUGCAGUGUACCCGCGGCAAGACGGAAAGACCCCGUGAACCUUUACUAUAGCUUGACACUGAACAUUGAGCCUUGAUGUGUAGGAUAGGUGGGAGGCUUUGAAGCGUGGACGCCAGUCUGCGUGGAGCCAACCUUGAAAUACCACCCUUUAAUGUUUGAUGUUCUAACGUUGGCCCCUGACCGGGGUUGCGGACAGUGUCUGGUGGGUAGUUUGACUGGGGCGGUCUCCUCCCAAAGCGUAACGGAGGAGCACGAAGGUUAGCUAAUCCUGGUCGGACAUCAGGAGGUUAGUGCAAUGGCAUAAGCUAGCUUGACUGCGAGCGUGACGGCGCGAGCAGGUGCGAAAGCAGGUCAUAGUGAUCCGGUGGUUCUGAAUGGAAGGGCCAUCGCUCAACGGAUAAAAGGUACUCCGGGGAUAACAGGCUGAUACCGCCCAAGAGUUCAUAUCGACGGCGGUGUUUGGCACCUCGAUGUCGGCUCAUCACAUCCUGGGGCUGAAGUAGGUCCCAAGGGUAUGGCUGUUCGCCAUUUAAAGUGGUACGCGAGCUGGGUUUAGAACGUCGUGAGACAGUUCGGUCCCUAU
Molecule: ribosomal RNA, 2622 nt
Filed under: Klebsiella pneumoniae
Lineage: Bacteria; Pseudomonadati; Pseudomonadota; Gammaproteobacteria; Enterobacterales; Enterobacteriaceae
Description: partial 23S ribosomal RNA
Rfam family: Bacterial large subunit ribosomal RNA
Source: RNAcentral